RNAcentral lists this ribosomal RNA (774 nucleotides) under uncultured Neocallimastigales. RNAcentral's name for it is "partial large subunit ribosomal RNA". It matches the Rfam family "Eukaryotic large subunit ribosomal RNA", at positions 26 to 646 of the family's 3401-position model. The record is from RNAcentral. Lineage: Eukaryota; Fungi; Neocallimastigomycota; Neocallimastigomycetes; Neocallimastigales.
CGCAUCUGUGCAUGCAGCAUAUCAAUAAGCGGAGGAAAAGAAACUAACAAGGAUUCCCCUAGUAACGGCGAGUGAAGCGGGAAGAGCUCAAAUUUGAAAUCUUAAAGGGUUUCCCUUUACGAAUUGUAGUUUAAAGAAGUGUUUUCUGUUGAGGUUUUGGUAAAAGUUCUUUGGAAUAGGACAUCAUAGAGGGUGAGAAUCCCGUAUUUGACCUUUACUUUCAACUUUGUGAUACACUUUCAAAGAGUCGGAUUGUUUGGGAAUGCAGUCCAAAAUGGGUGGUAAAUUUCAUCUAAAGCUAAAUAUUGGCGAGAGACCGAUAGCGAACAAGUACCGUGAGGGAAAGAUGAAAAGAACUUUGAAAAGAGAGUUAAACAGUACGUGAAAUUGUCAAAAGGGAAGCGUUUGACACCAGUGUUGUUUUUCUGAAAAUCAAUUAAAGAACUGUUUAUGCUAAGUUGUUUAGACUUUAUCAGCUAUCUGUUUAGUUUUGAGCUUUUCUUUAAUGCACUUUUCAGUUAACAAGUCAACAUCAAUUUCUUUUGCUGUAAAAAAGCUUGAGGAAGGUGGCUUGAGAUUCGUCUUAAGUGUUUAUAGCCUCUUGCCUAUGCAGUCGGAGAGAUUGAGGUCUGCAGCGUAGAUCCUUCGGGGCUAAAUGCAUUUGUGCUAAGUUAUAGCAUUUUAUAGACAACUUGUUGACUAUGAUUUGUCUUGUAGCUUACUCGCUUAUGUUAUUUUACCUACGCUUAGGAUGUUGACGAGACUGUCGAUCUC